Molecule: long non-coding RNA, 494 nt
Organism: Macaca mulatta (Rhesus monkey)
Lineage: Eukaryota; Metazoa; Chordata; Mammalia; Primates; Cercopithecidae
Source: RefSeq, a predicted model, not a curated record
ACACUGGAUUCUCUCUCUGUUUCUCAGGAAACGUGGAUGGAAUGAGGAGACGGACGGAAUGAGGAGACAGACGGAUGACCGAACGUGGCAGAGGCCUGAGCUGAGGCUGGGUGCUGGGAGACCACGGACAGACUCUGUCCCUGCUCCGGAGGUGCCUGGAAGGUUCCGUGAACCAGGAUGCCGCCGUUACGAAGCAAGGGAAGCCACAAGUUUGGACACCCCUGCCCUACAGGCUUCAGAGGUGGUGUGGCCCUACCAACAUCUGGAUCUCAGACGUGCAGCCCCAGAUCCCUGGGACAGCACACUUCUGUGGUCUGCUUCGCCAGGACUGCUCAAAAUGUCAAAGUCCUCAAAACGAGGCAAGUCUGAGAAACAGUGGCAGACAGUAAGAGAUUAAGGAGGCAUGACGGUGAGACGCCAUGUGGCAUCCUGGUGGGAUCCUGAACGGAACAAGGACAUGCGCGACAUCUGAGUAAAAUGACAUUUGUGCUGUA